RNAcentral lists this ribosomal RNA (593 nucleotides) under uncultured Bacteroidota bacterium. RNAcentral describes it as "bacterial SSU rRNA". It matches the Rfam family "Bacterial small subunit ribosomal RNA", at positions 62 to 656 of the family's 1533-position model. Lineage: Bacteria; Pseudomonadati; Bacteroidota. The record is from RNAcentral.
UCGAGGGGUAUAGGUUUUCGGACCUGGAGACCGGCGCACGGGUGCGUAACGCGUAUGCAAUCUACCUUUUACAGAGGGAUAGCCCAGAGAAAUUUGGAUUAAUACCUCAUAGUAUUAUUGAAUGGCAUCAUUUAAUAAUUAAAGUUCCAACGGUAAAAGAUGAGCAUGCGUCCCAUUAGCUUGUUGGUAAGGUAACGGCUUACCAAGGCAACGAUGGGUAGGGGUCCUGAGAGGGAGAUCCCCCACACUGGUACUGAGACACGGACCAGACUCCUACGGGAGGCAGCAGUGAGGAAUAUUGGUCAAUGGGCGCAAGCCUGAACCAGCCAUGCCGCGUGCAGGAUGAAGCAUCUAUGGUGUGUAAACUGCUUUUGUACGAGAAGAAACACUCCUUCGUGAAGGAGCUUGACGGUAUCGUAAGAAUAAGGACCGGCUAACUCCGUGCCAGCAGCCGCGGUAAUACGGAGGGUCCAAGCGUUAUCCGGAAUCAUUGGGUUUAAAGGGUCCGUAGGCGGUUUUGUAAGUCAGUGGUGAAAGCCCAUCGCUCAACGGUGGAACGGCCAUUGAUACUGCAAGACUUGAAUUAUUGGGAA